This 497-nucleotide ribosomal RNA is filed under the name uncultured bacterium. Its description in RNAcentral is "partial 16S ribosomal RNA". It matches the Rfam family "Bacterial small subunit ribosomal RNA", at positions 28 to 507 of the family's 1533-position model. The record is from RNAcentral.
GAUGAACGCUGGCGGCGUGCCUAAUACAUGCAAGUCGAGCGAACAGAUGAGGAGCUUGCUCCUCUGACGUUAGCGGCGGACGGGUGAGUAACACGUGGAUAACCUACCUAUAAGACUGGGAUAACUUCGGGAAACCGGAGCUAAUACCGGAUAAUAUAUUGAACCGCAUGGUUCAAUAGUGAAAGACGGUUUUGCUGUCACUUAUAGAUGGAUCCGCGCCGCAUUAGCUAGUUGGUAAGGUAACGGCUUACCAAGGCAACGAUGCGUAGCCGACCUGAGAGGGGGGCCGCCCACAUGGACCCUGAGACACGGCCCAGACUCCUACGGGGGGCAGCAGUGGGGAUUCUUCCGAAAUGGGGGAAAGCCUGACGGAGCACCGCCGGGGGAGGGAGAAAGGUUUCCGGAUCGAAAAACUGUGUUAUGAGGAAAAAACAAAUGUUUAAUAACGUAUGCCCGUCUUGACGGUCCCUAAUCAAAAAGCCCCGGCUAACUCCGUG